AAUAAUAAUAUUUUUUCAGAGAACCUACAUAAGAAAGACUACCAUUAGAGUAUGAAAAACAAAAAAAAAUACACAAAAACUCUCUUGUAACAUUUUUGGAAAUUUAAUCAUUAAAAAAUGGAGAGAGCCCAUAGAGAGGCUCUCUCCAUUGGAGAUGCUCUAAGUUCUUCAAGUGGGCAAGAAGAGAAACCGUUUAAGUACCUUCCUUUUGGCGGCGGGAGGAGAGGAUGUCCUGGAGGUAAUUUAGCUUAUAUAUUUGUUGGAACUGCAAUUGGAGUGAUGGUGCAGUGCUUUGACUGGA
RNAcentral lists this small RNA (301 nucleotides) under Arabidopsis thaliana (thale cress). Its description in RNAcentral is "ATSL083300". The record is from RNAcentral. Lineage: Eukaryota; Viridiplantae; Streptophyta; Magnoliopsida; Brassicales; Brassicaceae.